CCUCCCUCCUCCUCCUGGGAGGAUGGAAACAGAUCAGAACCUCAAACCAAUCCUUGCACUGGCAGGAACUCAAAAGGUAGACUUGGGAGGGGUUGGAGGAAGAUAUAAAGGCUGGUAGCUGGAGACACAGACCAGCACUGAACUGGAGAAACUCAAGGAGAGGAGGAAUCAGAGACACCAAAACAUGAAGAUGAACCUGAAACUUCCGUUUUGCCCUGGACUCCUGCUGCUGCUUAUUGUCCGUCAAAACCAGGCAAUGGCCAGGCCCAUUUUCAGCUUACAGAGCCUAUCCAAGCUGUUAGAUGAGGACCUGGAGCAUCCCCUGGUCUCAGAAGAGACAGACCAUGAGCAAGACGACAUGAUCCUAACAGGUCCCUUUGAUCAGCAAGGCACUGAAUUCCAGUGGACCCGAAACACUAGGGAACAGCCUGAGAGCAUGUCCAUGGAUGAUAGUGCCGUCCAGAGGUUCUUCAGCAGCCUCCUAAGUUUACCCCAUAGAUACCAAGGCAGAAGCAAAAAGGGUCUCUCCAGGGGCUGUUUUGGUGCCAAGCUGGACAGAAUUGGGUCACUGAGUGGACUGGGAUGCUAACUGCUUACUAUGGACUGACUUGGAGGUUUCAAAGGACCUGUUGCCUUUCAGUGAGAUAUUCAGCCCUUAUUCACAUUGGCUCCACCAAUCCAUCCACUACAUGAUGUACUGAGCAAACUGCACCCCCCCAUCCCCCCCGAAUUACUUGGCCAAUUGAAUACACCAUUGCUGUACUGCCUAUUUGUAUCACAGUAAUAUUUUGUGAACAUCUAUCUGAAAUUUGAUUACAGAAAACAUUUGUACUGUGUACUAAAUGUAUAAAUAAACAAGUUUCAUUAUGGCACAGAUAAUAAACUGUUUUCCC
Strigops habroptila (Kakapo) is the source of this 893-nucleotide long non-coding RNA. RefSeq lists it as uncharacterized. Lineage: Eukaryota; Metazoa; Chordata; Aves; Psittaciformes; Psittacidae. The transcript is spliced from 3 exons. The record is from RefSeq and is a predicted model, not a curated record.